This 254-nucleotide ribosomal RNA is filed under the name uncultured bacterium. RNAcentral describes it as "partial 16S ribosomal RNA". It matches the Rfam family "Bacterial small subunit ribosomal RNA", at positions 524 to 776 of the family's 1533-position model. The record is from RNAcentral.
GACGGAGGGGGCAAGCGUUGUUCGGAAUUAUUGGGCGUAAAGGGUGCGCAGGCGGUCUCGUAAGCUGGGUGUGAAAGCCCCGGGCUUAACCUGGGAAUGGCAUUCAGGACUGCGAGGCUUUGAGUGCGGCAGAGGGAGGUGGAAUUCCACGUGUAGCAGUGAAAUGCGUAGAGAUGUGGAGGAACACCGAUGGCGAAGGCAGCCUCCUGGGCCAGCACUGACGCUCAUGCACGAAAGCGUGGGGAGCAAACAGG